UAUUAUAUGCUGAUGUUAAAGAUUAAGCCAUGCAUGUGUAAGUUUAAAGACCAAGUAGGAUGAAACUGCGGACGGCUCAUUAUAACAGUAAUAGUUUCUUUGGUUAGUCGGUACAAGGAUAACUUUGUGAAUGAUAAAGCUAAUACUUGAGACGAUCCGGGAAGUAUUCUACUUUCCGGCCCUCGGAUGCGAGUCUGGGGAAAAACGACAUUUUUUUGUGAAAAAGGAUGCCGCGACAAUUGAGGAAAGCGACGCUUUUGACAAGUAACCAAUGGGAAUUUCUGAUCUAUCAAUUUGUUGGUAGUAUCGAGGACUACCAAGAUUAUAACGGAUAACGAGGAAUUGGGGUUCGACAUCGGAGAGGGAGCUUUACAGAUGGCUACCACUUCUAAGGAAGGCAGCAGGCGCGUAAAUUACCCACUUUCGACCCGAAGAGGUAGUGACGACAAAUAACUCUUGGCACCCCUCGGGGUGACUCGAAGGAAUGAUUUAGAAGCAAAUUCUCUAAAGAAAUCAAUU
Molecule: ribosomal RNA, 519 nt
Filed under: uncultured eukaryote
Lineage: Eukaryota
Description: bacterial SSU rRNA
Rfam family: Eukaryotic small subunit ribosomal RNA
Source: RNAcentral